Molecule: long non-coding RNA, 4305 nt
Filed under: Homo sapiens (human)
Lineage: Eukaryota; Metazoa; Chordata; Mammalia; Primates; Hominidae
Description: HSALNT0360603
Source: RNAcentral
GCAGCUCCCUCAUCCUGGGUACUCUGACCUGCGAAUCCUAGUGACUUCGCUUCUCUGAACUCCAUUAUCUUUUUCCACCCAGUGAGACUCAGGGUUCAGUUGAGUUCUCCCUCCUGUGCGCAGCCCAAAGCUGCCUCCAGGAAGGAAGCUGGGCAACCACAGGGUGCACCUCAGUUGUUUUACUCCUUUCAGGGAUCACAGUCCUGCACCACCUGAUGUCCAGCGUAGGAAAACCAUUGUUUCAUCCAGAGUCCUUACCUGGGCUAAGCUCUGCUACCAUUAUUUCAUUAAAUCUUCACAACACCCUAGAAGUCACACUAUCUUAAAAAUGAGGAAAUCUUGCCAGUCAGAAUGGCAGUGAUUAAAAAGUCAAGAAACAGUAGAUGCUGGUGAGGCUGUGGAGAAAUAGGAACACUUUUACACUGAUGGUGGGAACGUAAAUUAGUUCAACCAUUGUGGAAGACAGUGUGGCGAUUCCUCAAGGACCUAGAACCAAAAAAUAUCAUGUGACCCAGUAAUCCCAUUGCUGGGUAUAUACCCAAAGGAAUAGAAAUCAUUUUACUAUAAAGACACAUGCACACAUAAUGUUUAUUGCAGCACUAUUUACAAUAGCAAAGACAUGAAACCAACCCAAAUGUCCACCAAUGAAAGACUGGAUAAAGAAAAUGUGGUAUAUACACAACACGGAAUACUAUGCAGCCAUGAAAAGGAUGAGAUCAUGUCCUCUGCAGGGACAUGGAUGAAGCUGGAAACCAUCAUCCUCAGCAAACUAACACAGGAAGAGAAAGCCAAACACCACAUAUUCUCACUCAUAAAUGGGAGAUGAACAAUAGGAACACAUGGACACGGUGGGGGCCAGACAACACACACACCAGGACCUGACAGGGGGCCAAGGGGAAGGAGAGCAUUAGGACAAAUAUCUAAUGCAUGAGGGGCUUAAAACCUAGAUGAAAGGUUGACAGGUGCAGCAAACCACCAUGGCACAUGCAUACCUAUGUAACAAACCUGCACGUUCUGCACAUGUAUCCCGCAACUUAAAGUAAAAUUAAAAAAAAAAUGAGGAAACUUAAGAGUGGCCAGGUAACUGUCUCAGAGUCAGACAACCGCUAAGGUCUUCAACACAUUUGUUUCUAUGAACUCUCCCUGGCACUGUCCUGGACCCAGAGGCCCAGAUGUAGAAGGUAUGAGAGCAUCCAGGCUCCAGGGACAAGGCCUUGCAACCAAUAUCCAGGCCUCCUUUCACUUCAGAAUUCUCCUCCUGCAGAUGUCCUGGCUCCCAGUUCCAGAGCUCCUUUCUUUGUGUACACAGUGUGGGAAGGACUGCUUGGUCUGCAUUUAUAGUCACCAUCACAUUUGCCCAUAAGGCACACUGACGCAGCACACAGCAGUCUCUAUUUAACAGCAUAUUUGCUCAAUGAAACUGAUUGAAAUUUAACACGUAGGGUCUGCCUUAAUGAUCUUCUUGGAGAAUGCUGAGCAGUGCACCUGGAGUGUGGAGGCAGCGUCCAGGCUAUUAGAGUGAAGCCAGUCAAGGUGGCUGCUUCUCAAACUGAUUUUUCAAUCUCAAGCUCCUCCUUCCUCCACUUUGACUUUAUUUUACCAAGGAUUUCAAACAUGGAGAAAAAAGUAGAAAGAUGAAACACUCAUAGACCCAUAUCUAGACUGAGCAAUUUUGCUUCAUCUUGUUUAUUCCUGUAGUAUUUUAAAUAACAAAUACAAUGACGGUUCACUUCUAAAUACUCCAGCAUGCAGCUCUAAAAUUUAAGGAUCUUUUCCCACCUAACCAUAACAACUAUUAUUAUACUUAACAAAAUAAAAAAAAUACAUCAUCUAACACCAGUCCAUAGUUCAAACCACCUCUUGCCCUUGACAUUUUUUUAGUGUUGGAUAAUUAAAGCAGUUUCCAAUUAAGGAUAACACAGUGCAUUUAAAUGUUGUAUUUCUUUUCUUUUCUUUUUUUGAGAUGGAGUCUUGCUCUGUCACCCAGGCUGGAGUGCAGUGGCGCGAUCUCGGCUCACUGCAAGCUCCGCCUCCCGGGUUCACGCCAUUCUCCUGCCUCAACCUCCUGAGUAGCUGGGACUACAGGUGCAUGCCACCAUGCCCGGCUAAUUUUUUCUAUUUUUAGUAGAGACGGGGUUUCACCAUGUUAGCCAGGAUGGUCUCGAUCUCCUGACCUCAUGAUCCGCCCACCUCGGCCUACCUAAGUGCUGGGAUGACAGGCGUGAGCCACCGCGCCCGGCCAAAUGUUGUAUUUCUUACAUCUUUUAAAAUCUAGAACAGCUCUUCUCCACUGGCCCCUUCUUGCUCUAUAAUAUUGACUAUUGAAGAGACCAGACUACUACCUGAAAGAAUAUUCUACCUUCUGGCUUUGUUUCAGUGUCUUUUUUUUUUUUUUUUGAGAUGGAGUUUCACUCUUGUUCCCCCAGGCUGGAGUGCAAUGGCACGAUCUCUGUUCACUGCAACCUCGGCCUCCCGGGUUCCAGUGCUUCUCAUGCCUCAGCCUCUUGAGUAGCUGGGAUUACAGGUGCCUGCCACCAUGCCCAGAUAUUUUUUUUUAGUAGAGAUGGGGUUUCACCACGUUGGCCAGACUAGUCUUGAACUCCUGACCUCAGGUGAUCUGCCCAUCUCGGCCUCCCAAAGUGCUCAGAGUUACAGGCAUGAGCCACGGUGCCUGGCCUGUUUCACUGUAUUUCUUAUGGUGUCACUUGUUCCUCAACCUCCUCUAUUUCCUGUAAGCACGAAGUUGGGUCUAAAGUCUUGAAUAUACACUUUUGGGCUGGGUGGCAUUGUGCAUUGUGACUACAUGCCUGGUCAUCCAGUAUGAUGCCCAGAUCUCCCACUGAAUCCAAGAGGCAGUGGGCAUAGGCCUUGUUCCUCUCCUUUCAAAGGGCAAAAAAUCUGUGGUCAGGCCCCUUUUCCUGCAUAAAAUCUCCACAUCCCUGUUCCAUUCUCAUCUCUCCCCACCGACUGAGAAACAUGCCCCAUUGACUCACUGUGCCUUCUGGUACCUCCACCAGGCAAGAUUUUGCUGAAUUUACCUCCUGAAUUUGCAGUGCACAUGUGUGAAAUUUUUUGGAAUUAAAAAAAUUAAAACUGUACUUUUCAAGAUUUAAAACUGUAAUAUUGAUUGUGUUCUUCAUGGCCCCAAAGCAAGAUUCUGUUGUAUCUUGGAGGAGGGGGGUCACUACUCUGAAAUCCCAGUGAUGGGCAGCACUGAGCAACUGAGAGCCUCAGCAUUCUUGGGCUUGUUCACACCCACAAGCUUGGCACAGAUCCAAGUCCUGCAAGAUGCCUGGGAGGGCAACUGAGACCUGUGGCCCAGCCACAUUGACUCAGGAGGUAAAAAUGUCAACAGGCCACAACCUCCAGGGCUCCUGGAAUUGGAGACGAAGCCAGUUCUGAGCUUAUGCAACCAUAGGACAGUGAGAGAGGGCCAUGGACUCGAUUUAGAGCCACAAGAUGAGAGCACUGCUGGAGCACCGUGGGGAUGCUGACAAAUCUUCUCAGGGCUUCAAGGACCGUGGCUACAGGUACAUCUCAGCCAAACUUGGGCACAUGUUGCAAUCAAGGGACUGAAGCUACAACCACCUGGCCCGUGGUCCACCUGGAGUUUUGUUUUGUUUGUUUUUGAGAUGGAGUCUCACUCUGUCACCCAGGCAGGAGUGCAGCGGUGCGAUCUUGCUUCACUGCAAUCUCCACCUCCUGGGUUCAAACAAUUCUCCUGCCUCAGCCUCCUGAGUAGCUGGGACUACAGGUAUGCGCACCCACGCCCAGCUAAUUUUUGUAUUUUUAGUACAGACAGGGUUUCUACUAAAACCCUGGUUGGCCAGGCUGACCUCGAGCUCCUGACCUCAAGUGAUCUGCCUGCCUCAGCCUCCCAAAAUGCUGGCUGGGAUUACAAGCAUGGGCCACUGUGCCCGGCCCCACCUGGAGUUUUAAAAUUCUGAUUUAUAAAUUUAUUAUAUGACAGUCUACCAAAAGUAUGCAAAUCCGGCACUACACUUAUUUAUGCAUUCAGUGAGUCACCUUUAUCUGAGUGCAAGUGGCAACUGUUCUAGAAAAUGGGAACCAUGAGGUUAUCAAAGAACCUGGAGGUAGGGUCAGAUGAGGAAGCACAUCAUUAUGAUGUCUUACACAUGCAGUCAUGUCUCCUCUUAUAAUCCUAAGACUCACCUGUGAGAUUCCUAUUACAGCCCCUAGUUUACAUGUAGGAAUAUCAGAACCCCAAGGUUUAGAAACAGAACGGCCAGAAACAGGAGGAGGAUGGCCAUGCAGCUGGGCGUGGCAAGGCCAGGCCUCCCAAGU